This 470-nucleotide ribosomal RNA is filed under the name uncultured bacterium. RNAcentral describes it as "partial 16S ribosomal RNA". It matches the Rfam family "Bacterial small subunit ribosomal RNA", at positions 28 to 507 of the family's 1533-position model. The record is from RNAcentral.
GACGAACGCUGGCGGCGUGCUUAACACAUGCAAGUCGAACGGUGAACGAGGGAGCUUGCUCCCUCCGGAUCAGUGGCGAACGGGUGAGUAACACGUGAGCAAUCUGCCCCGAACUCUGGGAUAAGCGUUGGAAACGACGUCUAAUACCGGAUACGACGCGGGAGGGCAUCCUCUCCGCGUGGAAAGAACUUCGGUUCGGGAUGAGCUCGCGGCCUAUCAGCUUGUUGGUGAGGUAACGGCUCACCAAGGCGACGACGGGUAGCCGGCCUGAGAGGGUGACCGGGCACACUGGGACUGAGACACGGGCCAGACUCCUACGGGAGGCAGCGGAGGGGGAUAUUGCACAAUGGGGGCAAGCCUGAUGCAGCAUCGCCGCGUGAGGGACGACAACCUUCGGGUAGUAAACCUCUUUUAGCAGAGAAGAAGCGAAAGUGACGGUACCUGCAGAAAAAGCACCGGCUAAAUACGUG